ACGAACGCUGGCGGCGUGCCUAAUACAUGCAAGUAGAACGCACAGGAUGCACCGUAGCUUACUACACCGUAUUCUGUGAGUUGCGAACGGGUGAGUAACGCGUAGGUAACCUGCCUGGUAGCGGGGGAUAACUAUUGGAAACGAUAGCUAAUACCGCAUAAGAACAUUUACUGCAUGGUAGAUGUUUAAAAGGUGCAAAAGCAUCACUACCAGAUGGACCUGCGUUGUAUUAGCUAGUUGGUGAGGUAACGGCUCACCAAGGCAACGAUACAUAGCCGACCUGAGAGGGUGAUCGGCCACACUGAGACUGAGACACGGCCCAGACUCCUACGGGAGGCAGCAGUAGGGAAUCUUCGGCAAUGGGGGGAACCCUGACCGAGCAACGCCGCGUGAGUGAAGAAGGUUUUCGGAUCGUAAAGCUCUGUUGUUAAGGAAGAACGUGUGUGAGAGUGGAAAGUUCACACAGUGACGGUACUUAACCAGAAAGGGACGGCUAACUACGUGCCAGCAGCCGCGGUAAUACGUAGGUCCCGAGCGUUGUCCGGAUUUAUUGGGCGUAAAGCGAGCGCAGGCGGUUAGAUAAGUCUGAAGUGAAAGGCAGUGGCUCAACCAUUGUAGGCUUUGGAAACUGUUUAACUUGAGUGCAGAAGGGGAGAGUGGAAUUCCAUGUGUAGCGGUGAAAUGCGUAGAUAUAUGGAGGAACACCGGUGGCGAAAGCGGCUCUCUGGUCUGUAACUGACGCUGAGGCUCGAAAGCGUGGGGAGCGAACAGGAUUAGAUACCCUGGUAGUCCACGCCGUAAACGAUGAGUGCUAGGUGUUAGGUCCUUUCCGGGACUUAGUGCCGCAGCUAACGCAUUAAGCACUCCGCCUGGGGAGUACGA
Molecule: ribosomal RNA, 882 nt
Filed under: uncultured Streptococcus sp.
Lineage: Bacteria; Bacillati; Bacillota; Bacilli; Lactobacillales; Streptococcaceae
Description: bacterial SSU rRNA
Rfam family: Bacterial small subunit ribosomal RNA
Source: RNAcentral